This 73-nucleotide transfer RNA is filed under the name Canis lupus familiaris (dog). It matches the Rfam family "tRNA". Rfam says of the family: Transfer RNA (tRNA) molecules are approximately 80 nucleotides in length. Their secondary structure includes four short double-helical elements and three loops (D, anti-codon, and T loops). The record is from Rfam by way of RNAcentral. RNAcentral also lists the same sequence under 1 other name. Lineage: Eukaryota; Metazoa; Chordata; Mammalia; Carnivora; Canidae.
GCCUGGCUGGCUCAGUCGGUGGAGUGUGCAACUUUUGAUCUCAAGGUUGUGAGUUCAAGUUCCACGCUGGGUA